RNAcentral lists this ribosomal RNA (253 nucleotides) under uncultured bacterium. RNAcentral's name for it is "partial 16S ribosomal RNA". It matches the Rfam family "Bacterial small subunit ribosomal RNA", at positions 524 to 776 of the family's 1533-position model. The record is from RNAcentral.
UACAGAGGUCUCAAGCGUUGUUCGGAUUCAUUGGGCGUAAAGGGUGCGUAGGUGGCGCCGUAAGUCAGGUGUGAAAUCUCGGGGCUCAACCCCGAAACUGCACUUGAUACUGCGGUGCUCGAGUACUGGAGAGGAGAUUGGAAUUUACGGUGUAGCAGUGAAAUGCGUAGAUAUCGUAAGGAAGACCAGUGGCGAAGGCGAUCUCUGGACAGUUACUGACACUGAGGCACGAAGGCCAGGGGAGGCAAACGGG